UAUGUCCUAUUAGCUAGUUGGCGGGAUAAAAGCCCACCAAGGCAAUGAUAGGUAGCUGGUCUAAGAGGAUGAACAGCCACAAUGGGAUUGAGAUACGGCCCAUAUUCCUACGGGAAGCAGCAGUAGGGAAUCUUCCACAAUGGACGAAAGUCUGAUGGAGCAAUGCCAUGUGAACGACGAAGGCCAGACAGGUCGUAAAGUUCUUUUAGAGGGGAAAAAUCUGAUGGUACCCUCUGAAUAAGUGACAGCAAACUAUGUGCCAGCAGCUGCGGUAAUACAUAGGUCGCGAGCGUUAUUCGGAUUUAUUGGGCGUAAAGCAAGCGCAGGCGGAUGAAUAAGUUCUGCAUUAAAAGCAGCUGCUUAACAGUUGUUUGUGCCGAAUACUAUUCAUCUAGAAUGUGGUAGAAAGUUUUGGAAUUAAAUAUGGAGCGGUGGAAUGUGUAGAUAUAUUUAAGAACACCAGAGGCGAAGGCGAAAACUUAGGCCAUUAUUGACGCUUAGGCUUGAAAGUGUGGGUAGCAAAUGGGAUUAGAUACCCCAGUAGUCCACACCGUAAACGAUGGGUAUUAGAUGUCGGGACUUGAGUUUCGGCGUUGUAGCUUACGUGUUAAAUACCCCGCCUGGGUAGUACAUAUGCAAAUAUGAAACUCAAAGGAAUUGACGGGGACCUGAACAAGUGGUGGAACAUGUUGCUUAAUUCGAUAAUACACGAAAAACCUUACCAAGGUUUGACAUCCUCUGCAAAGCUAUAGAAAUAUAGUGGAGGUUAUCAGAGUGACAGGUGGUGCAUGGUUGUCGUCAGCUCGUGUCAUGAGAUGUUUGGUUAAGUCCCGCAACGAGCGCAACCCUACUCUUUAGUUACUUGUCUAAA
RNAcentral lists this ribosomal RNA (871 nucleotides) under uncultured Mycoplasma sp. RNAcentral's name for it is "bacterial SSU rRNA". It matches the Rfam family "Bacterial small subunit ribosomal RNA", at positions 232 to 1127 of the family's 1533-position model. Lineage: Bacteria; Bacillati; Mycoplasmatota; Mollicutes; Mycoplasmatales; Mycoplasmataceae. The record is from RNAcentral.